CUUUUGCUGGCGACCGGCGCACGGGUGAGUAACACGUAUCCAACCUGCCCUUUACUCGGGGAUAGCCUUUCGAAGAAAGAUUAAUACCCGAUAGCAUAAUGAUUCCGCAUGGUUUCAUUAUUAAAGGAUUCCGGUAAAGGAUGGGGAUGCGUUCCAUUAGGUUGUUGGUGAGGUAACGGCUCACCAAGCCUUCGAUGGAUAGGGGUUCUGAGAGGAAGGUCCCCCACAUUGGAACUGAGACACGGUCCAA
Molecule: ribosomal RNA, 250 nt
Filed under: uncultured bacterium
Lineage: Bacteria
Description: partial 16S ribosomal RNA
Rfam family: Bacterial small subunit ribosomal RNA
Source: RNAcentral